RNAcentral lists this ribosomal RNA (724 nucleotides) under uncultured Comamonadaceae bacterium. Its description in RNAcentral is "bacterial SSU rRNA". It matches the Rfam family "Bacterial small subunit ribosomal RNA", at positions 57 to 776 of the family's 1533-position model. Lineage: Bacteria; Pseudomonadati; Pseudomonadota; Betaproteobacteria; Burkholderiales; Comamonadaceae. The record is from RNAcentral.
GCAAGUCGAACGGCAGCACGGGAGCAAUCCUGGGGGCGAGUGGGGAGCGGGUGAGUAAUACAUCGGAACGUGCCCAAUCGUGGGGGAUAACGCAGCGAAAGCUGUGCUAAUACCGCAUACGAUCUACGGAUGAAAGCAGGGGAUCGCAAGACCUUGCGCGAAUGGAGCGGCCGAUGGCAGAUUAGGUAGUUGGUGAGGUAAAGGCUCACCAAGCCGUCGAUCUGUAGCUGGUCUGAGAGGACGACCAGCCACACUGGGACUGAGACACGGCCCAGACUCCUACGGGAGGCAGCAGUGGGGAAUUUUGGACAAUGGGCGAAAGCCUGAUCCAGCCAUGCCGCGUGCAGGAUGAAGGCCUUCGGGUUGUAAACUGCUUUUGUACGGAACGAAACGGCCUUUUCUAAUAAAGAGGGCUAAUGACGGUACCGUAAGAAUAAGCACCGGCUAACUACGUGCCAGCAGCCGCGGUAAUACGUAGGGUGCAAGCGUUAAUCGGAAUUACUGGGCGUAAAGCGUGCGCAGGCGGUUAUGUAAGACAGUUGUGAAAUCCCCGGGCUCAACCUGGGAACUGCAUCUGUGACUGCAUAGCUAGAGUACGGUAGAGGGGGAUGGAAUUCCGCGUGUAGCAGUGAAAUGCGUAGAUAUGCGGAGGAACACCGAUGGCGAAGGCAAUCCCCUGGACCUGUACUGACGCUCAUGCACGAAAGCGUGGGGAGCAAACAGG